AGUGCAAUGGCAUAAGCCAGCUUGACUGCGAGCGUGACGGCGCGAGCAGGUGCGAAAGCAGGUCAUAGUGAUCCGGUGGUUCUGAAUGGAAGGGCCAUCGCUCAACGGAUAAAAGGUACUCCGGGGAUAACAGGCUGAUACCGCCCAAGAGUUCAUAUCGACGGCGGUGUUUGGCACCUCGAUGUCGGCUCAUCACAUCCUGGGGCUGAAGUAGGUCCCAAGGGUAUGGCUGUUCGCCAUUUAAAGUGGUACGCGAGCUGGGUUUAGAACGUCGUGAGACAGUUCGGUCCCUAUCUGCCGUGGGCGCUGGAGAACUGAGGGGGGCUGCUCCUAGUACGAGAGGACCGGAGUGGACGCAUCACUGGUGUUCGGGUUGUCAUGCCAAUGGCACUGCCCGGUAGCUAAAUGCGGAAGAGAUAAGUGCUGAAAGCAUCUAAGCACGAAACUUGCCCCGAGAUGAGUUCUCCCUGAGACUUAGAGUCUCCUGAAGGAACGUUGAAGACGACGACGUUGAUAGGCCGGGUGUGUAAGCGCAGCGAUGCGUUGAGCUAACCGGUACUAAUGAACCGUGAGGCUUAACCUUACAA
This 587-nucleotide ribosomal RNA is filed under the name Salmonella enterica subsp. enterica serovar Mbandaka. RNAcentral's name for it is "partial 23S ribosomal RNA". It matches the Rfam family "Bacterial large subunit ribosomal RNA", at positions 2348 to 2925 of the family's 2925-position model. Lineage: Bacteria; Pseudomonadati; Pseudomonadota; Gammaproteobacteria; Enterobacterales; Enterobacteriaceae. The record is from RNAcentral.